Molecule: long non-coding RNA, 472 nt
Filed under: Mytilus galloprovincialis (Mediterranean mussel)
Lineage: Eukaryota; Metazoa; Mollusca; Bivalvia; Mytilida; Mytilidae
Source: RNAcentral
AAGAGACCAAAAUGACACAGAAAUUAACAACUAUAGGUCAUCGUACGGCCUUCAACAACGAGCAAAGACCAUACCGCAUACUCAGCUUUAAAAGGCACCGAAAUGAAAAUGUACAACAAUUCAAACGAGAAAACUAGCGGCCUUAUUUAUGUACAAAAAAUGAACGAAAAACAAAUAUGUAACGCAUAAACAAACGACAACCACUGAAGUACAGGCUCCUUACUUAAAUGUUCAUAACAUACUAAAUGUAUAUUCAUAUUGAAAUUGAUAGAAAACCACACAUUGGGAAUUUUGGAAAUAAAGGAGGAGGGAGUAAAAAAACAUUUUCCUGUCCCCAAUAACCUAUGAUUUAUGAUAAUUUUGCUGAAAUUCUCCAGUCAUUCAAUAUUUCACAAAAUUCUUCCAACAACACUUUACAUACUUUAAACUACGCUCUGAAUGCCCGCGAUUUCGCGGGUGUGUUCUAGUUUAA